GACGAACGCUGGCGGCGUGCUUAACACAUGCAAGUCGAACGGAAAGGCCCUGCUUUUGUGGGGUGCUCGAGUGGCGAACGGGUGAGUAACACGUGAGUAACCUGCCCUUGACUUUGGGAUAACUUCAGGAAACUGGGGCUAAUACCGGAUCGGAGCUCCUGCUGCAUGGUGGGGGUUGGAAAGUUUCGGCGGUUGGGGAUGGACUCGCGGCUUAUCAGCUUGUUGGUGGGGUAGUGGCUUACCAAGGCUUUGACGGGUAGCCGGCCUGAGAGGGUGACCGGCCACAUUGGGACUGAGAGACGGCCCAGACUCCUACGGGAGGCAGCAGUGGGGAAUAUUGCACAAGGGGCGGAAGCCGGAUGCAGCAACGCCGCGGGCGGGAUGACGGCCUUGGGGUUGUAAACCGCUUUCGCCUGUGACGAAGCGUGAGUGACGGUAAUGGGUAAAGAAGCACCGGCUAACUACGUGG
This 469-nucleotide ribosomal RNA is filed under the name uncultured bacterium. RNAcentral describes it as "partial 16S ribosomal RNA". It matches the Rfam family "Bacterial small subunit ribosomal RNA", at positions 28 to 508 of the family's 1533-position model. The record is from RNAcentral.